UAAUCCGUGAAAACUCCGUGA
RNAcentral lists this non-coding RNA (21 nucleotides) under Caenorhabditis elegans. Lineage: Eukaryota; Metazoa; Nematoda; Chromadorea; Rhabditida; Rhabditidae. The record is from RNAcentral.